CUUCCUGCUUUCAUAAACAGUCAUGUGCAUAGUUUAGCAAGGCCUGAUGCCUCUGGAGCUUUUUCCCUUUAUAGCACCAUUGAAUCCCAGUCCUAACAGAAGUACUGUGAAUCUUGUGGCCUCAUUCUGAACAAAAGGGAUUAGAGAAGAAAAAUCUCUUGAUAUAAGGCUUAGAAGCAAGGGCAGGCAAUCUUGGUUGUGAAUAUUUUCUGAUUUUUCCAGAAAUCAAGCAGAAGAUUGAGCUGCUGAUGUCAGUUAACUCUGAGAAGUCGUCCUCUUCAGAAAGGCCGGAGCCUCAACAGAAAGCUCCUUUAGUUCCUCCUCCUCCUCCACCACCACCACCACCGCCACCACCGCUGCCAGACCCAACACCCCCAGAACCAGAGGAGGAGAUCCUGGGAUCAGAUGAUGAGGAACAGGAGGAUCCUGCAGAUUAUUGCAAAGGUGAUAUGGUGGCAUGGUAGCAUGGGUUAAUUGUCCUCAUGGGGCUUUCCAGUAGUUUGUGGAAUGGUCUUUAUUAAAUUAGCUUCCUUGUUCACUGACUAUAGAACAAUAUCAGAAAAUGUAAAUGAUGAGAUGAAAAUUAAGAGUUAGCAAAUAUGUACAUGUGUACAUGCUCUAGGUAUUUUCAAAAGCGUUUAAUUGGAUACAGUUACAGGUAAGGGAGAUAAUAAAUGAUCUAAGAGGAACAUAUGAAGGAGAAGGUACCAGGCUUGAGAGGGGAGCUUAUUUUUAAAUCUUGUAUUUCACUUUGAGCUUUCUGGCUGUUAGGCUAAAAGGGAAGGUUCCCUUCUCUGUAUUGCAUUGAAUUGCAUACUGUUUAUUGUCUUUGGAAAGAAAGCAUGCCCAUUUGUUUGCAGAAAGGGACUUUUCCUGGCAUUGUACUUAUCGAAAAAGACAUUCUGUGGGUUCUGCUAUUGUGUGGCAUAGUGGAUUUUGUUUUCAGCUCUGAUUGCACAGAAGACAUAGAAACUAUUCAUGUGGAGUGUUCUUGUACUGAUGCUUUGUUAAGACCAAAAGUAUGUAGUUGAAAGUCAUAAAGGGCAAGCAUGUUGUGUGAUGAAUAUUCACGUCAGUAUGAUCUAGACUCCAUACUUUGUGUAGAUUUCUUGGAAUUCUGAACUGCACAGUGGCUGGCAGAUAGUUUAUUUGCUACAGGUUUUAAAACACGUAAAUUAGAUUCCAAAACACGUAGAUUAGAACACUUCUGGAGCUGUUCUUUUUAGCAAACAGACUCUACCAUGCUGGAAUGCAUGAACAUUGUCAGCUCUCCACUUGGCUCUCCAUGUGGGUCAGGAGUUGUAGCCAGUAUUCUCAUUCCCUUACUAUCUCAGGAGAGAUCCCAUCCCCAAAUCAGAGGGCUAAGAUAAAAAGUAACAGGGCUGAUUGUAGGUAACAUUCACUAAACUCUGAACAUCUUAAGAGUAUUAAGGUCAACCCUAAUAAAAUAUGCUAGAAAUGGUAAGGACUUUUUUCUGUCUGUCCACAUCCUUAAAUUUGGUAAAUGACUUGUCCUGUAGUUAGCAUUGCAUGUGUUGGAUGCCAUACUCUAUGAAUUUUGUGGUAAUAGACCACAGUUUGUCUACGAUAACUGACAUAAAUAUACUCAAGAAGUCUAUGUUAGUCAUAUUUCUGUCACUGUGACAAAAUACUUGAGAUAGUCAACUUAAGAGGAGGGAACGGUUUAUUUUGGCUCCUGGUUUCAGUUUUCAGUCCAUGAUCUCUUGGCUCUGUUUCUUUGUGCUUGUGUUGAAGCAGAGUAUCAUGACUAGAGGGUAGGAUGGGGAAAGCUGUUUACCUCGUGGUAGCCAGUAGAAAGAGAGAGGGGGGCUUGGGUCCUAAUAUUCCCUUCAAGGACACCCCACUCAGUGGCCUAACUUCCUUCCAGUAGGACCAACUUCCUAAAUGUUCCACGAGUUCCCAGUAGCUCCACAGUCUGAUGACUAAGUCUGCAAUCUGUAACCAUACAUUUAUGAUUCAAACCCCAUGCUUUCCUAGAAUGUGCAAGGCUCUGUUAGAUCCCUAGCUCUACAAAAAUGGAAAUUUAAUAAAAAAUCCAAACCCUAAAAGAGUUCAAGAAAUUGAUUGGGAGUGUCUGGGAUAAGAACUGUGGCCUUCACAUUUUUUUCUUCAUGGGUAGAAGAGAUAGCUUUUUUCCUCCAGAACUAGUUGAGCUUAAGUUAGUAAUGAUGUGUUACCACUUCUGAAUACUUGGUUAUAUUUGCCUAUAAUCAAGUACAUUCUUCUGAUCUACAAUGCAACCAUCAAGAUCAGGAAUUUAACAUUGUUAAUACUAGUCAACCCUCCAAAGAGUUCAUUUAGGAUUUGCAUGCCUAAUUUUGCCCUUUAUAUGAAGUGAAUCUAUGGCAGAACCAUUAUGUUUUGUUUUCUUCUUUAAUCUCCUGUAUUUGGAGCAGUUCUUCAGUAUUUUCUUAGCUUUCAUAUCCUUGACAUUUUUGAAGAUAAAAUGUAGUUUAUGUAAUGUUUCUCAGUUUGGAAUAUCCCAGAAGUGAUACUGUGUUCUGCAGCACAUCCUAUCAAGUGGUAGUACACAGUUUUGAUUUUUUUGAUACAGUGAUUUUUAUCAAAAAAAUUGAUGUAGUGAUUUCAUCACUCCAUUAAGCUGCUGUUUGUCAGAUAUCUCUACUCUUUCUCCUUACUAAUUGAUAAAUAGAUUUUGUGGAGAGUUGAGACCUCAUUUAAAUAUCUCAGUCAACAUCUCCAACCCUUGCCCCAGUUGUCUGACUUUAUCUCAGAUAGACUCACUCAUUGUGGAUUUCUGUUUUUUUUUCAGUGGGUUUUAUAAUGAGUUACCCUUCUUACUUGUUUUUGAUACUCUGAUCACCCUAAAUUUGGUCAUUAGGAGCCCCUUUAGUUGAGACUGUGUUCUUUUGAAACAUCUUUGUCAUUCCUGACCACUUCUUUACCUUCAAGUGCAAUAAUAUAGUCCAGGUUCAUCUUGUAUUUCUCCACCCCAGCCCUAGAAUAAACUCUUUCCAUAAGACCCCUGGUUGUUUUCAAUGAAGAAUAAUAUUUUGAAAGCAUGAUCUAGCCAUUAAUGAUGUUUUAUUACUAUUAAGGUAAUUGCAAUUACUUCAAUAAGAAUAGUAAUUAUCACUGUUGCUUCCAGAUCUUUGUACAAAGCUAGGGAC
This is a non-coding RNA of Castor canadensis (American beaver), 3152 nucleotides long. Lineage: Eukaryota; Metazoa; Chordata; Mammalia; Rodentia; Castoridae. The record is from RefSeq and is a predicted model, not a curated record.